RNAcentral lists this ribosomal RNA (271 nucleotides) under uncultured prokaryote. Its description in RNAcentral is "partial 16S ribosomal RNA". It matches the Rfam family "Bacterial small subunit ribosomal RNA", at positions 524 to 794 of the family's 1533-position model. The record is from RNAcentral.
UACGUAGGUGGCAAGCGUUGUCCGGAAUUACUGGGUGUAAAGGGCGUGUAGGCGGGGAGACAAGUCAGAUGUGAAAUACCGUGGCUUAACUGCGGGGGUGCAUCUGAAACUGUUUCUCUUGAGUGUCGGAGAGGAAAGUGGAAUUCCCAGUGUAGCGGUGAAAUGCGUAGAGAUUGGGAGGAACACCAGUUGCGAAGGCGGCCUUCUGGACGAUAACUGACGCUGAGGCGCGAAAGCGUGGGUAGCAAACAGGAUUAGAUACCCUGGUAGU